GGGGGCUUCAGUGCCAUGCAGGCAUUGUGAACCACUAUGGAGCCUGGCUUUCAGCUGAUCCUGGGGAAGUCACAAAAAGUGGUAGCAGAGCUGCUUCCAGAUGACAUGAGGCUAGGCAUUGACUACAGUAGUCUCCAGUGGAAGUCAGUGUUCUGAUCAAAAGGAAUAUUUAGAUAUUGAGUAAUUUUUAGAAGAUACCAGCCUAGAAAAGGAAUCGUAAAAGAUACAAAGUCUUGUGGACGCAUACAUAAAGUUGAAGAGACCAACUCAGUCCUGAAGGAGGAAGUAAUUUCUUCUGUAAAAGAAGUAAAUAAGGAGAGAUCUAAACCCUUAAGACUAGAGGGGAUGAUGACUGAAAUAGUAAGAAUGAUUCAUUUACCAGAAGAUGAUGUAGGAACCAUCACAUUGCAAGAUUUUCCAAGCACUGCCAUGGCUGGGGCUCCCUUCUGUCAUUCUCCAGGGGUCUGAAAAUAGAACCCUUUUCUUCUAUUCAGACUGUGUCUGUUCUCUACCUCCCACUCCAAUAUGAGGUUCAUUCUUGUCCGUGCUUCUAAAAAGCACUUAAGAACCCUCCUCCAUAGGCUGGAGUAUUUUUGUUCAACGUCACCUUUCAAAAACAAAUCUGAGUUUCUUCAAGGCUAAUUCAAAUUUCAAAUGAACCAACUGUUGGACUUCCAGAAAUUUUGGACUUAAAAAAAAUGGUCUGUCUUCAAAAGAAAUUUUAAUCUCAUUCAUUAUCAUCUUAAGAACUGAAGACACUUG
This 762-nucleotide long non-coding RNA is filed under the name Homo sapiens (human). Its description in RNAcentral is "HSALNT0190451". Lineage: Eukaryota; Metazoa; Chordata; Mammalia; Primates; Hominidae. The record is from RNAcentral.